This 1003-nucleotide long non-coding RNA is filed under the name Salvia miltiorrhiza (redroot sage). RNAcentral's name for it is "long non-coding RNA (SMIL_LNC008085)". The record is from RNAcentral. Lineage: Eukaryota; Viridiplantae; Streptophyta; Magnoliopsida; Lamiales; Lamiaceae.
CGUGAUAUUUACUUGGGUUAAGUACCAAAUUCUAUUGCCUAUAGGACCCUAUAGUCAGAGUCAAAGCUGUUUACUACCUCAACUAGGCAAAAUAAUCAAAUCCCCCCGGGGGCCAUUUAACGGAGCUUAACACCAUUAGAAAAAUUAUUUUUUUUUUGUUUUUAAUUAAGGUGGGCCCCAGCUCUCUCUCUCUCUCUCUUUCCUUGAGUAAAUUGGCUGCCUCAGUUCAGUUUCUUGGCGAGGCCUUCGCCAUCUCCGGUGCGGCCGUGUCUCGCCCCCGAUCCUCCCUCUCACUCUCUAGAUCGUCAAUCCUCUGAAAACAACACAAGCCCUAUCUCCUUUUUCUCAAGGCUACUGCCUUAAAAUCAGGCGAGAAAAAGUCGGCAUCGACCACUGGUUUCACACCGCAACCACCACAUUUGUCUUUAAUUCUAUGUCUCUCGUUGACUCCUCCUCUCACAAACACAAGUCAGCCGCUGCUACCUUCAUGGUCCCGCCGCCUUUCUCCCAAAAUCAGGCGAGCCAGACGGCCGCUGCUCCAUCGCUCUCUCAAUUUCUCUAGCAACCUCAAGCUGCACCCAGAUUAGAACCCUAAUUUUCCUCUAUCAUCGACUCUCAACGGAAAUACACAAUUGAGGGAGAAAAGUCGAGAUGUAGCUUCUCUAUCUGAAAUCGCAAGUCACCGCCCUAGUUCGACAGCAGAGAGAGAGGGGGAGGUUGAGCGAGAGAUAAAGAGUGAGAUAGACAGAAAUAGACGGGAGAGAUAGGAGGAGGGAGGAAUUACCUGAGCCGAAGAGGACAACGGCGAGACAGCCAGGCGGCUGCAGUAACGGCAGCGAUGGAAGAUACCACCGGAGAACAGAAAAUCGAAAUUUAAAAACAAGAAACCCUAUAUCAAUUUUGAUUUGGGGAAAGGGAAGACGAGAAGAAGUGAGGGGCAGGAGAGAAGUCGAUCUUGUCGCGCUGGAGACGGCUAGAACCGGUGACGUUAGCUGGAAUCUCU